UACGUAGGUGGCGAGCGUUGUCCGGAUUUACUGGGCGUAAAGCGCGUGUAGGCGGCCCACCAAGUCUGUCGUGAAAUAUCCCGGCUCAACCGGGAGGGGCCGACGGAGACUGGUGAGCUUGAGGAGAGCAGAGGAAGGUGGAAUUCCCGGUGUAGUGGUGAAAUGCGUAGAUAUCGGGAGGAACACCAGUGGCGAAGGCGGCCUUCUGGGCUCUACCUGACGCUGAGACGCGAAAGCGUGGGGAGCGAACCGG
RNAcentral lists this ribosomal RNA (253 nucleotides) under uncultured bacterium. Its description in RNAcentral is "partial 16S ribosomal RNA". It matches the Rfam family "Bacterial small subunit ribosomal RNA", at positions 524 to 776 of the family's 1533-position model. The record is from RNAcentral.